AUACUUACCUGGCAAGGGAGACACCAUGAUCACGAAAGUGGUUUUCCCAGGGCCAGGCUUAUCCAUUGCACUGUGGAUGUGCUGACCCCUGUGAUUUCCCCAAGUGUGGGAAACUCAACUGCAUAAUUUGUCGUAGUGGGGGACUAUGUACAUGCUUUCCCCUG
This is a small nuclear RNA of Cavia porcellus (domestic guinea pig), 164 nucleotides long. Its record names the gene U1. It matches the Rfam family "U1 spliceosomal RNA". Rfam says of the family: U1 is a small nuclear RNA (snRNA) component of the spliceosome (involved in pre-mRNA splicing). Its 5' end forms complementary base pairs with the 5' splice junction, thus defining the 5' donor site of an intron. There are significant differences in sequence and secondary structure between metazoan and yeast U1 snRNAs, the latter being much longer (568 nucleotides as compared to 164 nucleotides in human). Lineage: Eukaryota; Metazoa; Chordata; Mammalia; Rodentia; Caviidae. The record is from Ensembl.